AGAGUUUGAUUAUGGCUCAGAAUGAACGUUGGCGGCGUGGAUUAGGCAUGCAAGUCGAGCGGCAAGGUUUUUUCGCAAGAUAGAAACCCUAGAGCGGCGGAAGGGAUAGGACAAUAUAGAUACGUGCCUCUUAGCUCAGGAUAGCGUCUGGAAACGGGCGAUAAUACUGAAUGAGGUCUUAGGACCAAAGGUGAGAUUCCGCUAGGAGAUCGGUCUAUAGCCUAUUAGUUAGUUGGUAGGGUAACGGCCUACCAAGACGAUGAUGGGUACGGGGCGUGAGAGCGCGACCCCGAUCACUGGGACUGAGACACUGCCCAGACGCCUACGGGCGGCUGCAGUCGAGAAUCUUCGGCAAUGGACGGAAGUCUGACCGAGCGACGCCGCCGUGUAUGACGAAGGCCUUCGGGUUGUAAAGUACUGUCGAUUGGGCGGAAGUUAGAGGGGGCCAUCUCUCUCUUUUGACCUAUCAUUUGAGGAAGGACGGGCUAAGUUCGUGCCAGCAGCCGC
This 507-nucleotide ribosomal RNA is filed under the name uncultured bacterium. RNAcentral describes it as "bacterial SSU rRNA". It matches the Rfam family "Bacterial small subunit ribosomal RNA", at positions 8 to 518 of the family's 1533-position model. The record is from RNAcentral.